Molecule: ribosomal RNA, 356 nt
Filed under: uncultured bacterium
Lineage: Bacteria
Description: bacterial SSU rRNA
Rfam family: Bacterial small subunit ribosomal RNA
Source: RNAcentral
AACGAACGCUGGCGGCAUGCCUAACACAUGCAAGUCGAACGAGACCUUCGGGUCUAGUGGCGCACGGGUGCGUAACGCGUGGGAAUCUGCCCUUGGGUUCGGAAUAACAGUUAGAAAUGACUGCUAAUACCGGAUAAUGUCUUCGGACCAAAGAUUUAUCGCCCAGGGAUGAGCCCGCGUAGGAUUAGCUAGUUGGUGAGGUAAAGGCUCACCAAGGCGACGAUCCUUAGCUGGUCUGAGAGGAUGAUCAGCCACACUGGGACUGAGACACGGCCCAGACUCCUACGGGAGGCAGCAGUGGGAAUAUUGGACAAUGGCGAAAGCCUGAUCCAGCAAUGCCGCGUGAGUGAUGAAGG